CCAACCUUGUUGGGAGAAUCCGGUGCUUUCGCCACCGGUGCCGAAGGAGCAACCGCCCCGGAAACUCUCAGGCAAAAGGACCAGCAAGG
This is a non-coding RNA of Rhizobium sp. Pop5, 89 nucleotides long. The record is from Rfam. Lineage: Bacteria; Pseudomonadati; Pseudomonadota; Alphaproteobacteria; Hyphomicrobiales; Rhizobiaceae.